GGCUCAGCUGGGGUAGGGAGACAUGGAUCAGCCACCCAGCUCGGCUUCCAGGCCCCCGACCUCCUUUCAGGUCAUCUUCCCCACUUGACAGGCCGAAGUCGGAUCUAAAUUCCACCUUCCCUCCGCGCGGCUUUGUAGCACCACCCAUUAUGCUUCAGCCACAGAAGCCAGCGGCCCUGACUCCUUCCACCUGACGCUCUGUCUCACCCAGCACACAACCUGGCCCCCACCAGCCCACCUCGAAGAGCCCCGUCCUCAGAGCCUGGAAGGCCACACUGAAGGCAGCUGGGUUGUGAAAAGGGUGAAGAGGUCAGAAGAGUCAAGGCCGCCCGCAGCGCCAGCGUUCCCUUUAAGAUCUGCGGUACGUGGUUCUCGCCCUCCCCUCUCCUCACCCGUCAUCGGCCUCCCGCUUCCCUCCAGCGUCCCUCUCCCCUCCGGUCUUUGGAGCCCAGCAGACCGCCCCUUCGCCCUGUGCCGUGUCGCCCCGAGCUCCUCACCGUGGUCGCUCCCCCUGAGGUAGCAGGGCCCGGGCCGUGGGUGAGGAGGGGGCUGCAGCCUCGAAACAACCCCCCACCACCAGGGUCCCCGCCCCCCGGGGGUUCGGGAUCCUGGUCGCCGGAGCCACCGCCCACGGGCGCCCCUCCGGCACUGACCGAGGCCAGGGCGGCCAGCGCGGUCGCCAGUUCUGCCCAGGCCCCUCGGGAGCCCAAGCCCGGGCCGCCUCCGGCGCCGGACCCCACGCCGCCCCGGCAGCGCAGCACCAGCAGGAAGCGGACAGUCUCCCCCAGGUAGAGGUGGUUGCGCCGGGGCAGCGCCCGGUACCGGCCCGGGUCCCCCGCCAGCUCCGCGCGUGGCGGCAGCGGCACGGCCGGGAAGUACAUCGAGUAGUCGCACUGGGACUCCAUGGGCGGCGAGGGCGGCGCGGGCUGGGGAGCGAGGUGGGCCGUGGCCGGCGGAGGGCGAGGGGGCCGCUGGGGUGGGCCCGGAGAGCCCCGAGCCCCGACCGGUGCUGGAGCGGCCGGACCGGCCCGACAGACCAGCCGGGGCCGGGAACCGGGGCAACGAGCCCGGAACCGAGACCCCGUGGGGCCGGAACCGGGGUGCUGGGCCGAAUGACUGGAGAGACACCGGAAGCGGAAGGGAAGGGGCGUGGCCCCGGAGGCGCCGCAAUUUGUGGGCGACCGGAUUUUGGACAAGAGGAGCGGCGUGUGCCUGUGGUUAGGCUGCUGCACGAAGGGUUUAGCCUGAGCGUUGUGCAUGAAGCCCACCACAUCAUCUAGACCCCAGCACAGGGCAUCGGCCAGCAGGACCAAUGACUCGUCAAAGUACUCGGCCACCAAGACCAGGUCAAAGACAGAGUCCAGCCAGGCCAGAUUCCACUGGAUGAAGGAUGAAGACCCCAAAUCUAAAGAGGCAGAGCUGGACGUCUGUCUGUGACCAUCAGCAACAGUGGGAACGGGAUGGAAGAGAGCAUUGGGAUCCAAGAGACCUGUCACUUAGCCUCUCUGAGAUUCAACCUCCUCAUCUGUGUAGUGGAGACACUUAUAAUGCCUUCCUGGCAGGAUGAUGGUAAGAUGACUACCCAGCACCCAAGGAGUAUUCAGUGAAAGUUCGCUCUUUCCCUGUAUGUGUUCAUUUGCCCAUUGAUUUUCUUCCUCCAAGAGGUUCGUGUGUGUGUGUGUGUGUGUACGGAUGACUGAGUACGUGCACUCAUCUCCUCCUUUAGAACUG
Molecule: long non-coding RNA, 1731 nt
Organism: Balaenoptera acutorostrata (minke whale)
Lineage: Eukaryota; Metazoa; Chordata; Mammalia; Artiodactyla; Balaenopteridae
Exons: 4
Source: RefSeq, a predicted model, not a curated record